UGUCUGGGUCUAUUUCUGGGCUCUCAGUUCUCCCCCCACACUGUUCCAUUGGUCUCUAUCUGUGUUUCUACCCAUACCAUACUAUUUUGAUAUGUAGUUUUAUAAUAUUCUUUGAAGUCAGGGAGUGUGAUACUUCCAGCUUUGUUAAUUUGUCACAGGAUUACUUUGGCUUUUGGGGGUCUUUUGUGGUUACAUACUACAAAUUUUUU
Pipistrellus kuhlii (Kuhl's pipistrelle) is the source of this 209-nucleotide long non-coding RNA. RefSeq lists it as uncharacterized. NCBI's taxonomy places the organism in Eukaryota, Metazoa, Chordata, Mammalia, Chiroptera, Vespertilionidae. The transcript is spliced from 2 exons. The record is from RefSeq and is a predicted model, not a curated record.